CCUACGGGAGGCAGCAGUGAGGAAUAUUGGUCAAUGGGCGCGAGCCUGAACCAGCCAAGUAGCGUGAAGGAUGACUGCCCUACGGGUUGUAAACUUCUUUUAUAAAGGAAUAAAGUGAGGCAUGUGUGCCUUUUUGUAUGUACUUUAUGAACAAGGAUCGGCUAACUCCGUGCCAGCAGCCGCGGUAAUACGGAGGAUCCGAGCGUUAUCCGGAUUUUUUGGGUUUAAAGGGAGCGUAGAUGGGUUGUUAAGUCAGUUGUGAAUGUUUUCUGGUCAACCGUAAAAUUGCAAUUGAUACUGGCAGCCGUGAGAACAGUUGAGGUAGGCGGAAUUCGUGGUGUAGCGGUGAAAUGCUUAGAUAUCGCGAAGAACUCCGAUUGCGAAGGCAGCCUACUAAACUGCCACUGACAUUGAUGCUCGAAAGUGUGGGUAUCAAACAGGAUUAGAUACCCGGGUAGUC
This 460-nucleotide ribosomal RNA is filed under the name uncultured bacterium. Its description in RNAcentral is "partial 16S ribosomal RNA". It matches the Rfam family "Bacterial small subunit ribosomal RNA", at positions 338 to 795 of the family's 1533-position model. The record is from RNAcentral.